Molecule: long non-coding RNA, 1979 nt
Organism: Bombus impatiens (common eastern bumble bee)
Lineage: Eukaryota; Metazoa; Arthropoda; Insecta; Hymenoptera; Apidae
Exons: 3
Source: RefSeq, a predicted model, not a curated record
AAAACGCAUUGUAACACUAGUAACGUGUUUCCACGAAGCGAUGUGAUCGGAUCACAACGAAUCAGAUACAGAAGAAAAACGUGUCGAUCGCAAGAAAAAGGAACACUAGGCUGGAUCGAGUGUGAUGAACAGGAGGAAUCGCGCGCGACACCGUUCAUCGGUAGACAGAUCCACUUAGGCUUAAUUAGCAACGAUUACUUAAAUACGUCCUUAUUUCCAUGGAUAUAUCUAUGUAUAUAUAUAUAUAGCUAACGAUCGCCCCCUGUGGAUGACGAAGAAAAGCAGGAAAAGCAAGAUUGAACGUAUCUAUACCUCGUCGAUGGGGGAUGGUGGUGUUUGACUGGCAGGCUUCGUUGGCGCUUUGAUGCAGAGCCGAGUCUGAAUUCGUUCUCCUCCAUGUGUCCGGUGGCGGUGGUGAAAGAUACGGAACACCGCUGUACGGUGAAGUAUCGUGCCUUUUUUCCAUCGGACGAGGUCGCAUCGGUCCAACUCCCAUGCUCCUACCCCUCUCGUUGUUACGAUACACCAUGGAAUUGUGCUGCAUCUCCUCCAAAUUGCUGAGCGCUGUCUAUAAACGCGAAAACAUUAUUUAAGUAUUUAUCUCGACAAUCACAUUAUCUUGCCACUCGAAGAAGCAUUUUUACGUGCACAUGCAAUAAAUUUUUAUCGAUUGCAUAUCUUGCACGUGUCUAUUCAAACGACACGAAAGGAAAAACUCAUUCAUCGUGUUUCUUUCAACUAGAACAAAAAAUAUAUGGAUGCAUGUAAAAUAAAUGUCCAUUGUGAUGUAGAGAUAUUCUGUCAUUCUUACACACAUACAUCGAUCGAUCGUUCUCACGUAUAGAUGACAGCGUCAUUCUUCCUGAACGUUGCUCUAUCUUAUCGACCUUAACUAAACCUCUAAAUUCUAAACACUUGGACGUUCAACUUCGGCGCAUUGCUAAUUGCAUUCCAAACAUUUGGUCCUAUCCUCCGGCAUAGAUGAUAGUGUCAUUCCUCCGAAAUUUUGCUUUAUCUCAUCGUUAUUUACUAUUUAAGUGCUUAAAACUUUGCCUUUCCUUUAAGUCCACGCUAAUUGCAUUCCAAAUAUGGACGUUCGAUCUGCAUAUCACCAGUUGAAGUUCGCUCUGUUGACUAACGUAACAUAAAUUACUACGAACUUGAAACAAAUCGUAUCGUAUACGUUACUAGAGCGCCGAUGUUUAUGUAUUUAUGGAAAAUUUAAAGGUUCGAGGAUACGCAGGCUACACAUAUUAUACAAACAUGUGUAAAAUAUUCAAGCUAAAGUAAUAUUUAAUAAGCAAAGCAAAUCUUCGUUUAAAUUCUAUUUUACAAAUCUGCAUAAAUUUCUAUUGCUCGAAAAAAAGAAAAAAAAAAAGGAAGAAAAAGAAAAAAAGAAAAAAUGCAUAGUGCAUAUUCAUAGAAUCACUAUUUUGCAGAAGACGAAUGCAUUACGUACAUGGAGCAAAUGAAAUGUACGAUGAAAACGAACUAGCUCCGAGGAAAGUAAUUUUCUUCUACCUUCGUUCUUUUUCGAGUUGGUCGGAAUUUUCUCGUCCUAUGAAACUCAGCCUGUGAAACGUUUCAUCCGUUUUAUGAGAGGACCAAUGCGAUAUAAAGAGACUUAACGCAGGCGUUCGAUCAGGACACGCCAGAACGAGAAUCCGUGUCAGUUCCUCCAAAGAUAAAUCCAUGGAGAUAAGUUUCCCUUUGGAAAAUAUGAGCUUUUCCAUCCACUAGCAAUCAGAUCUUAUAUCCACAACUUCUUGGAAGCGAACUAAAAAUUCAAAGUACAAGAAUAUCGACCCUUUGAUAACAACAUUAAUAAACGAGCUCGCGUUUCCGUGCUAAUAGAAAUUCUAAAAGUCUGCGCUUUUUAAAACAGACUACGACGAAACCAUCGUAGAAAUCUGCGAUACAACUCGUACGAAACGAUUAUAUACGAUACAGCGAGUGUUUAAAGCUUUAGAAGCUUAAAG